GAUGAACGCUGGCGGCGUGCCUAAUACAUGCAAGUCGAGCGAACAGACGAGGAGCUUGCUCCUCUGACGUUAGCGGCGGACGGGUGAGUAACACGUGGAUAACCUACUUAUAAGACUGGGAUAACUUCGGGAAACCGGAGCUAAUACCGGAUAAUAUAUUCAACCGCAUGGUUCAAUAGUGAAAGACGGUUUUGCUGUCACUUAUAGAUGGAUCCGCGCCGCAUUAGCUAGUUGGUAAGGUAACGGCUUACCAAGGCAACGAUGCGUAGCCGACCUGAGAGGGUGAUCGGCCACACUGGAACUGAGACACGGUCCAGACUCCUACGGGAGGCAGCAGUAGGGAAUCUUCCGCAAUGGGCGAAAGCCUGACGGAGCAACGCCGCGUGAGUGAUGAAGGUCUUCGGAUCGUAAAACUCUGUUAUUAGGGAAGAACAAAUGUGUAAGUAACUAUGCACGUCUUGACGGUACCUAAACAGAAAGCCACGGCUAACUACGUG
RNAcentral lists this ribosomal RNA (497 nucleotides) under uncultured bacterium. RNAcentral's name for it is "partial 16S ribosomal RNA". It matches the Rfam family "Bacterial small subunit ribosomal RNA", at positions 28 to 507 of the family's 1533-position model. The record is from RNAcentral.